This 267-nucleotide unclassified non-coding RNA is filed under the name plant metagenome. Its description in RNAcentral is "partial contains small subunit ribosomal RNA, internal transcribed spacer 1, and 5.8S ribosomal RNA". The record is from RNAcentral.
UUUCCGUAGGUGAACCUGCGGAAGGAUCAUUAUCGUACAAAGUGUGAGGGGCAUGCGAGGGCUGUCGCUGACUCAAAAGUCGUGCACGCCCGAGUGUGUCCUCUUGCAUAAUAAUCCAUCUCACCCUUUGUGCAUCACCGCGUGGGCACCCUUCGGGAUCAUCUCGGAGGGGGGCUCGCGUUUUCACACAAACCCCCCUUUUAAAAGUGUAGAAUGACCACAUUUAUGCAAUCAAUACAACUUUCAACAACGGAUCUCUUGGCUCUC